UGUUUUCACCUGUGUAUAAUUGGUUUAUUCUUCACCUGUAUUCAAGUUGUUUGCUUCACUCAAUGCUGGUUCAUUGUUUCUAAGGUCCAUGUCUCGAGUUUUUCCACAUUUUGGAUUACCUGUUUUAAUGUUUCAUGUUUUUUGAUGUUACCUUCCAAGGACCAUUUUCAGUUGCUGCUCCCUGUUUGUGGACUUGGAGUUGACGAAGAUGUGGGAGAGUGCCAGAAAUGUCAUUUAUUGGAAAGCUAUUGUUUCUUUGGCACGGGAAAUGGCUUUUUCGGACCCCUGGCUAAUAGACUCACUGCCAAGCCAGGCCACAAGCUUUUUCCUCACCUCAGCUCCUCAGUUGGCUAGCCACCUGCCUGUUUCCCGGCCCACUGGCCUUGAGCUCCGGCGUCCUAGUCUCCACAUGCCUGAUUCCUGCUAGCCUCCUGGUUGGUAGCCUUUUUCUGUCUGCCCCUGUUCCGGCUAGUGCCUCGGCAGCUAGCCUCCUGCCUGCCUGCGUCUGUUCCCCCUCCUGUGAAGUCGUCUGCAGGGCGACGUGGACGCAGUCGCCGCCGCCGCCGUGUCUCACCGCACUCAAGAUCUGCUGAGCCUCCGCUCCCCAGCUCCGCUGAGCCUCCUGUGAGGUCAUCUGGAGGGCAAGGCAGACGCGUUUGCUGCCGCCGCCGUGUCUCACCAUCCAGGACAAGGAUUCUAGAACUCUGCUGUAUGGAUCUACUACAGACCACUACUUCGGUCUACAGUCUACUUCACACCAUUAAAGUCUAUGGGCCUUUCUCAAUCUGCAUUCUUGUCUGUACUUGUGUUCUUGUGUCCUUGUGAAACAUCUGUGGUGGCCCAAGUACAGUCCUAAUACACAAGUUCACAUUUUGCCAUAAGCAUUUAAAAUUUACUUAAGUGUUAUUUUACCGAGGACGAUCGGCUGGUUACUUGUGUGAACUUGCCAGCACAAAUAUCCCAGCAGUCAUUUAUGUAUUUGAGCAAGGAGUUGGAAGCAGAGAAAGGCCAACACAACACUCCACAGUGCCUGCGGGGGUAGCUAGCCAGCAGGCCAGUCAGGCUCACAGAGCCCUUCACAGUCUCACAGACCACUGCAGAAGACGACCGCAGAGCAACAGUGGCAUAUGAAAGCCUGGCCCACAACUGUAAGACAAUUUAAAUUUUCGUACCACUGUUAUUGUGUCAAUCCAUUCUGAAUAACGUUUUAAUAUUUUUAUUUGAGCAAGGAGUGGGAAACAGAAAGACCAACACAACAGUAUGUUUUUGUUUUUUGUUUUCAGUUUUUGUAUGCUGUUUAAUCACUAAAUUCACUUGGCGAGAAAUAAACUUUUUUUGAGCGGCCACUUUA
Long non-coding RNA from Micropterus dolomieu (smallmouth bass), 1351 nucleotides. RefSeq lists it as uncharacterized. The transcript is spliced from 3 exons. The record is from RefSeq and is a predicted model, not a curated record. NCBI's taxonomy places the organism in Eukaryota, Metazoa, Chordata, Actinopteri, Centrarchiformes, Centrarchidae.